Molecule: long non-coding RNA, 859 nt
Organism: Cygnus olor (mute swan)
Lineage: Eukaryota; Metazoa; Chordata; Aves; Anseriformes; Anatidae
Exons: 2
Source: RefSeq, a predicted model, not a curated record
UGCGUACAUAACAUAGAACAGGCCAAACAGGCUGCCUUCCAGAACUGCCUGCAUAAGCAGAAAAAGUGGCAAGAAGGUACCAUCGACUUUUCCCAGAGCCACUCCUCCUCUUACAUCUGUGUACCACCCUAAGGAGUACCUCAGGCACACUCAGUAAUGUGACACGAGCAUCACCAGCCUGAGAUAUGACAUCACUACAGCUGAUGUGACCCAACAGUUCAUUACCACUGCCUACAGGAUGCACAGAGCUGGCUGCGAGAGGGCACAUAGGAUCUGGCUUUGCAUCGCAAACAGGCCUACAGUUAUGUCGCUUUCAAGGUGGUAUUUCAGGUUUUCCCAACUUGCUAGAUCAUCUGUCUUCCUUGGUUACAAGCUGACAGUAUAUUUCAGGAACAUGACAAGCCACCUAAUCACAGAUUUACAAGAAAAAGUGAUAGCAUUACUGGAAGAAAACCAGACUUUUAGGAAAUGGAAAGAGAUCAAGGUAGAAGGUCUCAAGUUUUUAUGGGAAGGGAACAGGGAUAUGAUCACGGCCUUCCAAGACAAGAAUAUGGCUGCCUGGGAAAAGAAUAUGACUCUCUGGAAAAAAAAACAUGAACCUUUGGGACAAUGUCAACACUCUACUAAUGGAUGAAAUGGAAGUCUGGGAAAAGGACCUAGUCCAAUGGAAAGCUGGGCUGGACCUUUGGAAGAAGGAACUGGACCUUUGGAAAGAGGAACAAGAAUUUCUUGGAGAGUAAAAAACAUUCACAGAAGAAAACACAACAAUUGUAUUGGCCAGAAACCAAAGGUGAUGCACUCACAUGCUUAAAAUGAUUUCUGCCUUCUUAAGCUAAUAAAGCCUUAACUGCUCUUUGAA